GCAGCAGUAGAGAAUCUUCGGCAAUGGGGGGAACCCUGACCGAGCGAUACCGCGUGAAUGAAGACAUACUUCUAGUACGUAAAAUUCUUUUAUUUAGGAAGAACAUAUAGUAUAGGAAAUGAUAUUAUAGUGACGGUACUAAAUGAAUAAGCCCCGGCUAACUAUGUGCCAGCAGCCGCGGUAAUACAUAGGGGGCAAGCGUUAUCCGGAAUUAUUGGGCGUAAAGGGUGCGUAGGCGGUUUUUUAAGUUCAAGGUUUAAAUCCAAAGCUCAACUUUGGAACGCUUUGAAAACUGGGAGACUAGAGAUAGGUAGAGGCAAGUGGAAUUCCAUGUGUAGCGGUAAAAUGCGUAAAUAUAUGGAGGAACACCAGUGGCGAAGGCGGCUUGCUGGGCCUAAACUGACGCUGAGGCACGAAAGCGUGGGGAGCAAACAGGAUUAGAUACCCUGGUAGUCCACGCUGUAAACGAUGAGUACUAGGUGUCGGGGGAACUCGGUGCCGCAGUUAACGCAAUAAGUACUCCGCCUGAGUAGUACGUGCGCAAGCAUAAAACUCAAAUGANUUGACNG
This 569-nucleotide ribosomal RNA is filed under the name uncultured bacterium. RNAcentral describes it as "bacterial SSU rRNA". It matches the Rfam family "Bacterial small subunit ribosomal RNA", at positions 348 to 916 of the family's 1533-position model. The record is from RNAcentral.